Molecule: ribosomal RNA, 253 nt
Filed under: uncultured bacterium
Lineage: Bacteria
Description: partial 16S ribosomal RNA
Rfam family: Bacterial small subunit ribosomal RNA
Source: RNAcentral
UACGUAGGGUGCGAGCGUUGUCCGGAAUUAUUGGGCGUAAAGGGCUCGUAGGCGGUCUGUCACGUCAGGAGUGAAAACUCGGGGCUCAACCCCGAGCCUGCUUCUGAUACGGGCAGACUGGAGGUAUGCAGGGGAGAACGGAAUUCCUGGUGUAGCGGUGAAAUGCGCAGAUAUCAGGAGGAACACCGGUGGCGAAGGCGGUUCUCUGGGCAUUACCUGACGCUGAGGAGCGAAAGUGUGGGGAGCGAACAGG